UUGCUUUGAUCUUGAAGGCAGAGAAAAAACUCGUUGGGCUGAGAAACAGAGCAAUGGAGGAGGAGGACUUGACUUCUCUAUUGAUGAAGUAUUAGCAACGAAGAAACCUGGCACGAUCAGAAUCGGACUUGACAUUGGAGGUGGAGUAGCUACAUUCGCAGUGAGAAUGAUGGCAAGAAACAUAACAAUUGUAACAACAUCAAUGAAUUUGAAUGGUCCAUUCAAUAAUUUCAUAGCUUCAAGAGGGAUAGUGCCUCUUUAUAUAAGCAUCUCACAGAAGCUUCCAUUCUUCGAUAACACCUUGGAUAUUGUACACUCAAUGCAUGUAUUGAGCAACUGGAUUCCAACAACUUUGCUUCAUUUCUUGAUGUUUGAUAUCUAUAGGGUGCUCAGGCCUGGUGGGUUGUUUUGGCUAGAUCAUUUCUUCUGUGUGGGUGAGCAGUUGGAGGAGGUCUAUGGACCACUUAUUGAGAGCAUUGGAUUCAACAAGUUGAAGUGGGUUGUAGGGAGGAAGCUUGAUCGUGGACCAGAGCUCCAAGAGAUGUACCUCUCAGCUUUGUUGGAGAAGCCAUUGAAGA
RNAcentral lists this unclassified non-coding RNA (578 nucleotides) under Hevea brasiliensis (rubber tree). Lineage: Eukaryota; Viridiplantae; Streptophyta; Magnoliopsida; Malpighiales; Euphorbiaceae. The record is from RNAcentral.